Molecule: ribosomal RNA, 255 nt
Filed under: uncultured bacterium
Lineage: Bacteria
Description: partial small subunit ribosomal RNA
Rfam family: Bacterial small subunit ribosomal RNA
Source: RNAcentral
AGGACGAACGCUGGCGGCGUGCUUAACACAUGCAAGUCGAGCGGAAAGGCCCUUCGGGGUACUCGAGCGGCGAACGGGUGAGUAACACGUGGGCAACCUGCCCCUAGCUCUGGGAUAACUCCGGGAAACCGGUGCUAAUACCGGAUAUGACCUCAAGUGGCAUCCCUUGAGGUGGAAAGAUUUAUUGGCUAUGGAUGGGCCCGCGGCCUAUCAGCUUGUUGGUGGGGUAAUGGCCUACCAAGGCGACGACGGGUA